AACGAACGCUGGCGGCAUGCCUAACACAUGCAAGUCGAACGAGACCUUCGGGUCUAGUGGCGCACGGGUGCGUAACGCGUCGGAACCUGCCCUUAGGUUCGGAAUACCUCCCCGACAGGGGUGCUAAUACCGGAUAAUGUCCUCGGACCCGAGAUUUGUCGCCUUUGGAUGGGCCCGCGUUGGCUUAGCUAGUUGGUAGGGUAACAGCCUACCACGGCGACGCUCCAUAGCUGGUCUGAGAGGAAGGGCAGCCACACUGGGACUGGGCCGCGGCCCAGACUCCUAGGGGAGGGGGGAGUGGGGGAUAUUGGACAAGGGGGGGAGGGCUGAUGGAGCAAUGGUGGGUGAGUGAUGAAGGCGUGAGGGUUGUGAAGCGGGUUUAUCCGGGGUGGUAAUGACGGUACCGGGAGAAUAAGCACCGGCUAACUCCGUG
This 433-nucleotide ribosomal RNA is filed under the name uncultured bacterium. RNAcentral describes it as "partial 16S ribosomal RNA". It matches the Rfam family "Bacterial small subunit ribosomal RNA", at positions 28 to 507 of the family's 1533-position model. The record is from RNAcentral.